This 292-nucleotide ribosomal RNA is filed under the name uncultured bacterium. Its description in RNAcentral is "partial 16S ribosomal RNA". It matches the Rfam family "Bacterial small subunit ribosomal RNA", at positions 505 to 796 of the family's 1533-position model. The record is from RNAcentral.
GUGCCAGCAGCCGCGGUAAUACGUAGGGGGCGAGCGUUGUCCGGAAUCAUUGGGCGUAAAGCGCGUGUAGGCGGCUCGAUAAGUCCGGUGUGAAACCUUGGGGCUCAACCCCAAGCCUGCACUGGAUACUGCCGAGCUAGAGUCCGGGAGGGGAGAGCGGAAUUCCUAGUGUAGCGGUGAAAUGCGCAGAUAUUAGGAAGAACACCGGUGGCGAAGGCGGCUCUCUGGAACGGUACUGACGCUGAGACGCGAAAGCGUGGGGAGCGAACAGGAUUAGAUACCCCUGUAGUCC